GAUGAACGCUGGCGGCGUGCCUAAUACAUGCAAGUCGAGCGAACAGAUGAGGAGCUUGCUCCUCUGACGUUAGCGGCGGACGGGUGAGUAACACGUGGAUAACCUACCUAUAAGACUGGGAUAACUUCGGGAAACCGGAGCUAAUACCGGAUAAUAUAUUGAACCGCAUGGUUCAAUAGUGAAAGACGGUUUUGCUGUCACUUAUAGAUGGAUCCGCGCCGCAUUAGCUAGUUGGUAAGGUAACGGCUUACCAAGGCAACGAUGCGUAGCCGACCUGAGAGGGUGAUCCGCCACACUGGAAAUGAGACCAGGGCCCGACUCCUACGGGAGGCAGCAGUUGGGAAUUUUUCGCAAUGGGCGGAAGCCUGAAGGAGCAAAGCCGGCGUGGUGAAGAAGGGCUUCGGGUUGUAAAACCCUUUUAUUGGGGAAGAACAAAUGUGUAAGUAACUAUGCACGUCUUGACGGUACCUAAUCAGAAAGCCACGGCUAACUACGUG
Molecule: ribosomal RNA, 497 nt
Filed under: uncultured bacterium
Lineage: Bacteria
Description: partial 16S ribosomal RNA
Rfam family: Bacterial small subunit ribosomal RNA
Source: RNAcentral